GUUAGGAAUAUUGGACAAUGGGCGCAAGCCUGAUCCAGCCAUGCCGCGUGAGUGAUGAAGGCCUUCGGGUUGUAAAGCUCUUUAGCCGAUGAUUAUAAUGACUGUAGUCGGAAAAUAAGCCCCGGCUAACUUCGUGCCAGCAGCCGCGGUAAUACGAAGGGGGCGAGCGUUAUUCGGAAUCACUGGGCGUAAAGCGUGCGUAGGCGGCUUUGCAAGUUGGGAGUGAAAGCCCAGGGCUCAACCCUGGAAUUGCUCUCAAAACUGCAAGGCUCGAAUUCGGGAGAGGAUAGCGGAAUUGUCAGUGUAGCAGUGAAAUGCGUAGAUAUUGACAGGAACACCAGUGGCGUAAGCGGCUAUCUGGACCGAUACUGACGCUGAGGCACGAAAGCGUGGGGAUCAAACAGGAUUAGAAACCCUGGUAGUCC
This 425-nucleotide ribosomal RNA is filed under the name uncultured bacterium. Its description in RNAcentral is "bacterial SSU rRNA". It matches the Rfam family "Bacterial small subunit ribosomal RNA", at positions 354 to 796 of the family's 1533-position model. The record is from RNAcentral.